CAAAUUAAAGCUUAAAAAGCAUUUCAUUUACAUUGAAAAGGUAUUGUUUAUUCAAUUAAUUUGA
This 64-nucleotide transfer RNA is filed under the name Stomphastis sp. Its description in RNAcentral is "tRNA-Val". It matches the Rfam family "tRNA". Rfam says of the family: Transfer RNA (tRNA) molecules are approximately 80 nucleotides in length. Their secondary structure includes four short double-helical elements and three loops (D, anti-codon, and T loops). Lineage: Eukaryota; Metazoa; Arthropoda; Insecta; Lepidoptera; Gracillariidae. The record is from RNAcentral.